This is a long non-coding RNA of Rosa rugosa (rugosa rose), 687 nucleotides long. RefSeq lists it as uncharacterized. The record is from RefSeq and is a predicted model, not a curated record. The transcript has 5 exons. Lineage: Eukaryota; Viridiplantae; Streptophyta; Magnoliopsida; Rosales; Rosaceae.
UACAUGUAGUUGACCAUUUCAGAGUUAUAAGGCUUUAACGGGAACUUCUUGGAGCCUUCUCUAUUUUGUCAGUUUCUAUCUUAUAACCGUAUUACUUCUACUGAAUUUGGUUGUGGCUUUUGUCCUGGAGGCUUUCUUGCUGAAAUGGAGCUCGAGUCUGCAGAAAUUUGUGAAAAGAAUGAGGAGGUGGAAGGAGUAAAAGACCGACCUCGAUCCGUAGGCUCAAAAUCACGGAGCCAGAGAGUUGAUGCUCUUCUUCAUCAUAUGUUGAGUGCAGAGCUAAAUGAAACGCAGUCCUCCAGUGCAUAGCUUAUGUCAUUUUCCGUUAUGGUUACGUUAGUGAUUUGGUAGAACCAGAAAGAAGAGUUCUUCAAAUAUAGAGGGCAAGGAUUUGUUGGAUUGUCGUCUGCAAAUUAAAAGUACAGGAUAUUUUUUUUUUUUUUUUGGGUCACAAGAUACGUAGAGGAUACUGUGGUAAGGAGUAUAGGUCUCAGGGAGUGGGAUGCCGGGGCGCUAAGGUUCAGUUCAUUCCUUUAGUGAUAUUAGACUACAAUUUUUUUAUUUUAUUUUAUUAUCGACUAGCCAUUUAUGAGUCGAAGUUUGGAUGUUCCAUUUACAAAAGAAAGACUAAUGCAACGGUAUACUUAAUUUUUGAUAUAUAUUUUCACCCAAGAUAUCUGUACCAAC